RNAcentral lists this microRNA precursor (78 nucleotides) under Rhinopithecus bieti (black snub-nosed monkey). RNAcentral's name for it is "miRNA (ENSRBIG00000007012.1)". The record is from RNAcentral. Lineage: Eukaryota; Metazoa; Chordata; Mammalia; Primates; Cercopithecidae.
AGGUUGGUGCAAAAAUAAUUGCGGUUUUUGCCAUUACUUUCAGUGGCAAAACCUCAAUUGUUUUGCACCAACCUAAUA